This is a long non-coding RNA of Callorhinus ursinus (northern fur seal), 465 nucleotides long. RefSeq lists it as uncharacterized. The record is from RefSeq and is a predicted model, not a curated record. Lineage: Eukaryota; Metazoa; Chordata; Mammalia; Carnivora; Otariidae.
GGAGAGCUGGAGGCCAGGAAGCGGGUUAGCUGGAGUGGAGGUGGAGGUGGUGCUGGCUCUGAGCCCCGAGUUUUCUCCUGUUUGUGGCGUCCCCGCUGGCUCGCUCGCAUCUCAGGACAAGCGGACGCCCCACGGCAAUCCCACCCGGCCGCAGUGAGGAGGAGCCCACCAGUCCCCGGCAGCCCUCCCGAGGGUCCUCGGCAGGUACGAGGAGACACGUAACUUCUGGAAAACCCUUCUUGGACAGUGCAGCGGCUUCCACAUCUAAGUUCCCAUCCUUGAAAUGGAGCCAGCGGAGCCAGCCUUUCCUAGUCUCCGGGGCUGUCCAGAACUGAGAAAGUGAUGCAGUGUAUGAAAAACUGCUUUGACGGGAAAUAAAGUCCUGUGUUUUGUAAGAUGUCAAUGACUUGAGAGCCACAUUAAAUGCUUUGCAAUAAAAUAGAGAUUUAGAUGAAUGAGUAAAAA